CCACCGCUAAUCAGUCACUCUCGUAUGCUCGGACUGGCUGGACGUUUCCCUUUUCGAACCAGCGGACAUCCUUCACAUUCCAUUCCUACUGGCUGAGUGCAGUAUUGUGUCGUUUUUUUUUUUAUUUUUCUGAUAGCUGAGCGUAGAAUAAUCACUUGCUAGUAGAGUAUUACACACAAAAAGGUAUCAGUACUUCAGCUACAUCUACGGCGCGAGUGUCGAACCCAGCAGGUACCUCUACCAGAGAGGUUUGGGAAGCAUUGAACAAUCAUCAAUCCGGCGGUUGGUUGAGUCAUAUUGUCGGCCUAUGAGGUAUUGUGUCGUUGUCUCUCCGUGACUACACGCCCGAUUGGCGGCGAUUGAUACUUAUUAAUCUGUGCAGUGUAGUCACCAAAAUAACUCGCUCGGAAAACGGAAAGUGCUGCAAACCCAAGAUUGUGAAUGCGAAGGAAAACUAAGCGCGAAACAAGUGUUUGGAAAAAGGUGUGACAACUAGAAACCCCAUUCGCGCUCGCGGGUGACUGACGAAAUUCAAAACUGAAGAAAACUGGUGAAAAUCGAUUGGUUCUUUUUGGGGGAGCGCGUGGUACUUGUGGUGGCAAAAUUUAACGACUUCGGGGCGAUUUCAGUGACAACGGUUGUCACGUGAAACAAAAAAAAAAAAACAAAAACAACUAUCACAAAACUUAAGAGCAUUGGAUUUUUUCAUUCCAACAGAGCACUGCCAGCUUCAGCAUUCAAACAAAAAAAAUCGUCUAUUUACUAGGAGUUCGUUUCUCAGGACAUCGUGUGUAAGUGAAAAGUGAACAUCAAAAGUGAGAAAAACUUGUGGCAUCAGCGUCAAACGAAUCGUGUGGAUUUAUUCAUCCUGCGAAGCGGGUAUCUGAGUGCAUCUAGGACGAAUAUUUCUGGGAUUCAAAUGUUGCUGUAGUCGGACCAACACCUUCAACACCGAACCCUCCGAUUUUCUAGUUCUCUUUUAGCUUUAAGUCGUCACCUCCCUGACACCUAGACCAGAAAGUCGUCGUCACAAUCACCAGCACAAGCGGCAAACUGUAUCGAAACAAUGCACCGAAGUAGGAUACAUUGGCUGUGGCUAGCAGCGGUGGCCCUUUUGGUUGUCGCACCUUGGGCACCAGUUUCAGCGACACCUGUCCAAACAACGUCACAAGCAGAGCUCUACCUGUCACAGUUUGGCUACCUCAGUGCGAAAUUCCGAAAUCCCACCAGUGGGAGUCUGCUGGAGAAGGAUACCUGGGAGAAGGCAAUCAUGGAGUUCCAGAGCUUCGCCGGCCUCAACGUAACCGGCGAGUUGGACAGCGAUACGAUGGAGCUCAUGUCACUGCCACGGUGCGGAGUUCGGGAUAAGGUCGGGUUUGGGUCGGAUUCCCGAUCGAAACGGUACGCCCUCCAGGGCAGCCGGUGGAAGGUGAAAGCCCUCACCUAUCGGAUAUCCAAGUAUCCGUCGCGGCUGGAUCGAGCCGAAGUAGAUAAGGAAAUAGCUAAGGCUUUCUCGGUGUGGAGCGAGUACACCGAUCUGACGUUCACAGCGAAGAAGAGCGCUCCGGUACACAUAGACAUUAGGUUCGAGGUUAACGAGCAUGGCGAUGGGGAUCCUUUCGACGGACCGGGAGGCACCUUGGCGCACGCUUACUUUCCGGUGUACGGAGGCGAUGCUCACUUUGAUGAUGCGGAGUUUUGGACGAUCGGCAAAAGUCGGGGGACGAAUUUGUUCCAGGUAGCUGCUCACGAGUUUGGGCACUCGCUCGGGUUGAGUCACUCGGAUGUGCGAUCGGCUCUGAUGGCACCGUUCUAUCGGGGGUACGAUCCGGUGUUCCGGUUGGAUUCCGAUGAUGUUCAGGGAAUCCAAGCUCUCUACGGACGUAAAUCCGGUGGUAGCAGCGGCGGUGGUGGUUUCAAUCCACCGCGAACAACAUCCCGCCCGGUGCAGAGAGAUCCGGACUCUGAGCUGUGCUCCUUGCCAAAGAUCGAUGCCAUGUUCAACACGGCGGACGGCAGCACGUACGCCUUCAAGGGAGACAACUACUACAAACUGACGGAGAAUGCCGUGGCCGACGGUUAUCCGAAGAAGAUCGCCGAAGGAUGGCCUGGACUGAAAGGAAACAUUGACGCCGCCUUCACAUACAAAAACGGAAAGACCUACUUCUUCCAGGGGACCAAGUACUGGCGGUAUUCCGGCCGACAGGUGGACGGAGAAUAUCCGAAAGAAAUCAGCGAAGGAUUUACCGGAAUCCCGGAUCAUCUGGACGCUGCUUUGGUGUGGGGCGGUAACGGCAAGAUUUACUUCUACAAGGGCAGCAAGUUCUGGCGGUUCGACCCGCUGAAGCGGCCGCCAGUUAAGUCUACCUAUCCAAAGCCCAUCUCCAAUUGGGAGGGACUGCCCAACAACCUGGAUGCUGCCGUGCAGUACACCAAUGGCUACACCUACUUCUUCAAGGACGAUAAGUACUAUCGGUUUAACGAUAGGACAUUCUCAAUUGAUCAAUCCGACCCACCAUUCCCACGGCCGGUGGCGCACUGGUGGUACGGCUGCAAGAACACUCCAUCGACUUUCGACACGCUAGGUAAUGUUAAAGCUAUUAAGAAUGAAGAAGUCCAGCACGACAAUGUCGCCGAUGAUUUGAUUUUGGAUGCGGCAGAGCAAGUUCAUCCUUCGCUCAGAGUUAAUAACGAUGGCCGAGAAGUCUAGCAUGCAGCUGAACACCUCCUUUUCCCUGGUCGCAUAUAGCAACUUCAAACCCUUACUCCGCCUGUGUUGCCAUUGCAAAAUGCUACCAUUCGAAUGGUGAUACCUUCAUGAUGAAAGUUUUCUACCGAAACUCAUACAGCUUCCAUUCACCGCCGUUGUGGCGCUUUAGUUUUGUUAAAUCAGUUUAGUCUUGCUUUUGUUCGUACGUUUUCGUUUUGUAGUGGAAAAUUUGAAACCAAAAAAAAAAACUAUAUGAAUGAGAGAAAAUGUCUGGCCAUUUCAAUUCUAACCGAGCAUUGGACGAUUUUGGGGAAAUCGCUUACAGGGAAGAACAAGUGUGGCCAGAAAACGUGCUCGAAUGUUGAUUAUUAGUUCGGAUGAAAACAAGACACAACCAACACACCAACAGACAAACACCCCACUCUAUGGCCAACAACCAUCGAAGACUGCAGCCCAGCCAAUUUUAUUUUAUAGCAAUUAUGCGAAGAGAUGUAUGUUUUUGCCUCCAGCUGAUAGGUUUUAAGUAUACCAUUCCAAAGUUAUGUUUCCUUUGAACUUUUGUUGAGUUUUGUUGAACUUUGCCAAGGAAAAUCAUAGUGUGCAGCACUUUUUGAAAACAUGCUUAUAUAUCUCAGUAUCGAAAAACGCUAAUCCAAGUCUCUUUUCAUCAUGGUGGAAAAAGCAGCCGGUACCGAUGAGCGACCUGCCGGCGAUGACUACAACCGAGGAAGUGGAGCGAGUUCCACCUGGACCAAUGUCAGUAUUAUCCUGUUCUCUGCAGUGCUAGGACUCGUACUAAAAUUCCAAUCAGCCUAAGUCGAAGCGCGCGUGGUUUUGUUCAUCAUUUUUGUUACCAGUUUGCUCCGAGGAGUAAGUUCAGCGAUCGAAUGAUUGAGAUUUUGUGAUUCGAGAAGGGAAAAGAGUGAAGCCCCAUUCAACCGACUAGCCCAUGUGAGACAGAGGAGCAAAAUCAGAAGCAACAGCAGCAGAAGGAGAUGAGUUUUGCGUCAGAAAAUUGAUCUCACAAUUUGUUCCGAGCGCAGUUCAAACAACUAUACAACUAUUUCGAGCCAGUGACCCAGCCAGAUCCCUUCUCCAAGUAAGCCAGAUGGAAGUUCCAUCAUCUGGACUUUUAAGUGUUAAAACAGUUAAAUAUAUCGUGAUACAAAGAACUUAUGAAUAUUUUCCGGACCAGUGUGUUCUUGCUAACGCACAAGCAACUGAACCAAUUUCCUUAGUUUCAGUCCAAAACGUCUACAUUUUAUGUAUUUAAUUCUUUUUGUUCUACUUCAAUCAUCAUAGGAUUUCUAAUUGGUUUAUUCUAACAAAGAAACACAACAAUUUCCAGUCAAAGUCAUUACCAUAAGAGCCUUAAGAUUUUUAAUUAGGGAUUUACAUAAAACUUCGAAUGAUGCAAGUGCAAGGAAAACAGUAAACGGUGCCUUUUAUCGACUUGUAAAUAACCAUUUUAACUAAAGUAAUUCUAAACAGAAGAAAAACGUAUCAAGCGCAAUCUGAAAGAUUGCAAUGCAGUGAAAAAGAGGAAGUCACAUUCUAUUGAUUGUUGAUUGUUAUUUAUCAGUUUUUUUUUUUCUAAAGCCUUUGAAAAUUAAGCAAUGUUUUGUUAUCCAACAUCAAAGACAAAAAACAGGAAAAUUUCAAAUUUACCAUAUUUUCUUGCAUUUCCCUUCAAAUAAAUGUGAACUUGAAUGCCUUCAUUAUGUGUAUCAUUGCAGAAUUAGGAGAAUUUAUUAUCAUAAUUGAAAAUUUUGUACAUAUUUAUUGCGAAUAGACCUAGGAUUAAACCGAAACUAUAAGGAAACAGAAAACAAAACAAUUUACUGUUUUAAAUGA
This is an RNA transcript of Aedes aegypti (yellow fever mosquito), 4564 nucleotides long. It is a transcript of the gene named matrix metalloproteinase-14, with no coding region annotated. The record is from RefSeq and is a predicted model, not a curated record. Lineage: Eukaryota; Metazoa; Arthropoda; Insecta; Diptera; Culicidae. The transcript has 8 exons.